AUGAUGUUCAGGGUGCAUGGAUUGGAUUGGACCUCUUCUCACAGUCCUCUGCAGUGCGCGAGGGCCAGCUAGCUAAGGUUUCGGUGGAAAGUUCAAGAGGCAAGGCUCCUGUCUAUAAAUUUAGGGUCAGGGCGGUGGCUCGCAUCACACACACAAACACAGUUGACAUACCGGCCGAUCAGGCUGCCGCUCCCAACGACUGAGGAAUACAGAGCGAUAUCAGUUGUUGUUGUGAGAAUGGAUAUGCUACGGAAGUCUCACUCUCUCAUCAUCAUGGCAUUGUUGCUGCUGGUGGUGGCUACGGAUGGCUCUCCGGAGUCGUGUCCAGGUGGCUUAUGUGAAAAACCAAGUGCCUCGUUCCGUGGUGGAUGUAUGAUUGACAAGCCCUGCAUAAAAGUUUGUCGCCAUGAGGGUUCGACAACUGGCUUUUGUAAAUCUGGAUGGUGGAUAUGGACAUGGACAUGCCAAUGUUGUAAGCCGUGCAAUCUCUAGAACUCCAGAGAUAUUAAGAUGACAUUACCCUGUGGUGCCGGCAUGCGUGUACUAUUUUGCUUACCAGCGUAUUUUUUAUCGU
Molecule: non-coding RNA, 574 nt
Organism: Lolium perenne
Lineage: Eukaryota; Viridiplantae; Streptophyta; Magnoliopsida; Poales; Poaceae
Source: RefSeq, a predicted model, not a curated record